CCUAGUGGCGGACGGGUGCGUAACACGUAGGCAACCUACCCUCGAGUGGGGGACAACCUCGAGAAAUCGGGGCUAAUACCGCGUAAUGUGUUGGGGUAAUGCCCAAUCACCAAAGCCUUCGGGCGCUUGAGGAGGGGCCUGCGGCCUAUCAGGUAGUUGGUGUAGGUAACGGCUCACCAAGCCUCUGACGGGUAGCUGGUCUGAGAGGAUGAUCAGCCACAUUGGGACUGAGACACGGCCCAGACUCC
This 248-nucleotide ribosomal RNA is filed under the name uncultured bacterium. RNAcentral describes it as "partial 16S ribosomal RNA". It matches the Rfam family "Bacterial small subunit ribosomal RNA", at positions 91 to 339 of the family's 1533-position model. The record is from RNAcentral.